RNAcentral lists this ribosomal RNA (433 nucleotides) under uncultured bacterium. Its description in RNAcentral is "partial 16S ribosomal RNA". It matches the Rfam family "Bacterial small subunit ribosomal RNA", at positions 29 to 507 of the family's 1533-position model. The record is from RNAcentral.
AGCGAACGCUGGCGGCAGGCCUAACACAUGCAAGUCGAACGAACUCUUCGGAGUUAGUGGCGGACGGGUGAGUAACACGUGGGAACGUGCCUUUAGGUUCGGAAUAACUCAGGGAAACUUGUGCUAAUACCGAAUGUGCCCUUCGGGGGAAAGAUUUAUCGCCUUUAGAGCGGCCCGCGUCUGAUUAGCUAGUUGGUGAGGUAAAGGCUCACCAAGGCGACGAUCAGUAGCUGGUCUGAGAGGAUGAUCAGCCACAUUGGGACUGAGACACGGCCCAAACUCCUACGGGAGGCAGCAGUGGGGAAUCUUGCGCAAUGGGCGAAAGCCUGACGCAGCCAUGCCGCGUGAAUGAUGAAGGUCUUAGGAUUGUAAAAUUCUUUCACCGGGGUCGAUAAUGACGGUACCCGGAGAAGAAGCCCCGGCUAACUUCGUG